GAAAACGCAACGAAGGAAUUGUCCGCUUAUUCGCGUUUCAGAGAGCCGGUGGUGGCUGCGAACCGGUACGUGGGAAGUGAGACGAGCAUUCCAGAGCAUUUUUUCCGAACGCCGUUCGACCUCGUGGAGGCGGGCAGGAUUAGUAGGGAGAGACGGACGGCCCCGUUAUCGGCUUUGUUCUGGGUAGCAAUCGAUUGGGGCAGCGCCCCUGUUGCGACCUGCUGAGGCAGUUGUGCGCGAGCCAACUGCGAAGAAGGGUGGAACCGCGAAGGAGUUUCAUAAUCCUCUCGUCCCUUUC
This 298-nucleotide non-coding RNA is filed under the name Tumebacillus sp. RNAcentral describes it as "T-box sequence". It matches the Rfam family "T-box leader". From Rfam's summary of the family: Uncharged tRNA acts as the effector for transcription antitermination of genes in the T-box leader family. T-boxes are found upstream of many aminoacyl-tRNA synthetase genes and some amino acid biosynthetic genes usually in Gram-positive bacteria. The record is from RNAcentral. Lineage: Bacteria; Bacillati; Bacillota; Bacilli; Caryophanales; Alicyclobacillaceae.